AGUGAACGCUGGCGGUAGGCCUAACACAUGCAAGUCGAACGGCAGCACAGUAAGAGCUUGCUCUUACGGGUGGCGAGUGGCGGACGGGUGAGGAAUACAUCGGAAUCUACUUUUUCGUGGGGGAUAACGUAGGGAAACUUACGCUAAUACCGCAUACGACCUACGGGUGAAAGCAGGGGAUCUUCGGACCUUGCGCGAUUGAAUGAGCCGAUGUCGGAUUAGCUAGUUGGCGGGGUAAAGGCCCACCAAGGCGACGAUCCGUAGCUGGUCUGAGAGGAUGAUCAGCCACACUGGAACUGAGCCACGGUCCAGACUCCUACGGGAGGCAGCAGUGGGGAAUAUUGGACAAUGGGCGCAAGCCUGAUCCAGCCAUACCGCGUGGGUGAAGAAGGCCUUCGGGUUGUAAAGCCCUUUUGUUGGGAAAGAAAAGCAGCAGGUUAAUACCCCGCUGUUCUGACGGUACCAAAAGAAUAAGCACCGGCUAACUUCGUG
This 492-nucleotide ribosomal RNA is filed under the name uncultured bacterium. Its description in RNAcentral is "partial 16S ribosomal RNA". It matches the Rfam family "Bacterial small subunit ribosomal RNA", at positions 29 to 507 of the family's 1533-position model. The record is from RNAcentral.